GUGCACGCUGGCGGUAGGCCUAACCCAUGCAAGUCGCGCGGCAGCACAGUAAGAGCUUGCUCUUACGGGUGGCGAGUGGCGGACGGGUGAGGAAUACAUCGGAAUCUACUUUUUCGUGGGGGAUAACGUAGGGAAACUUACGCUAAUACCGCAUACGACCUACGGGUGAAAGCAGGGGAUCUUCGGACCUUGCGCGAUUGAAUGAGCCGAUGUCGGAUUAGCUAGUUGGCGGGGUAAAGGCCCACCAAGGCGACGAUCCGUAGCUGGUCUGAGAGGAUGAUCAGCCACACUGGAACUGAGACACGGUCCAGACUCCUACGGGAGGCAGCAGUGGGGAAUAUUGGACAAUGGGCGCAAGCCUGAUCCAGCCAUACCGCGUGGGUGAAGAAGGCCUUCGGGUUGUAAAGCCCUUUUGUUGGGAAAGAAAAGCAGCAGGUUAAUACCCCGCUGUUCUGACGGUACCCAAAGAAUAAGCACCGGCUAACUUCGUG
This 491-nucleotide ribosomal RNA is filed under the name uncultured bacterium. RNAcentral's name for it is "partial 16S ribosomal RNA". It matches the Rfam family "Bacterial small subunit ribosomal RNA", at positions 29 to 507 of the family's 1533-position model. The record is from RNAcentral.